GACGAACGCUGGCGGCGUGCUUAACACAUGCAAGUCGAACGGAAAGGCCCUGCUUUUGUGGGGUGCUCGAGUGGCGAACGGGUAAGUAACACGUGAGUAACCUGCCCUUGACUUUGGGGUAACUUCAGGAAACUGGGGCUAAUACCGGCUAGGAGCUCCUGCUGCAUGGUGGGGGUGGGAAGGAUUCGGCGGUUGGGGAUGGACUGGCGGCUUAUCAGGUUGUUGGAUGGGUAGUGUCUUAGCAAGGCUAUGACCGGUAGCCUGGCUGAGAGGGGGACCUGCCACAUCGGGACGGGGAUGCGGCCCAGACCCCUACGGGAGGCAGCAGUGGGGAAGAGUGCAUUAUGGGCGGAAGCCUGAUGCAGCAACGCCGCGUGGGGGAUGACGGCCUUCGGGUUGGAAUCCGCUGUCGUCUGUGACGAAGCGUGAGUGACGGUAAUGGGUAAAGAAGCACCGGCUAACUACGUG
Molecule: ribosomal RNA, 468 nt
Filed under: uncultured bacterium
Lineage: Bacteria
Description: partial 16S ribosomal RNA
Rfam family: Bacterial small subunit ribosomal RNA
Source: RNAcentral